Molecule: long non-coding RNA, 224 nt
Filed under: Lotus japonicus
Lineage: Eukaryota; Viridiplantae; Streptophyta; Magnoliopsida; Fabales; Fabaceae
Description: long non-coding RNA (LJAP_LNC000334)
Source: RNAcentral
UCAAGUUGUUAGAACCAUGUUCACUGAUUAGCUGGAUUAUGUUGUGUUUAUGUAAUUCUUGCUCUGGCAGCAUUAGAGAAAUAUACAUGUUUUCAUAGUAUCGUUGCAGUAAUUAUUCUCUUUCAAGAGUAUCAUUCUAUCUAUCAGUAUAUAGAAUCAAUGUUUUGCUUUAACCAUCAUCAUGUUCUAUGAUACAUUGGACUCUCAUAUUGACCAUGCAUGCA